UUACAAUCCUAAGACCUUCAUCAUUCACGCGGCAUGGCUGCGUCAGGCUUUCGCCCAUUGCGCAAGAUUCCCCA
Molecule: ribosomal RNA, 74 nt
Filed under: uncultured bacterium
Lineage: Bacteria
Description: partial 16S ribosomal RNA
Source: RNAcentral